GGAGCCGGCCAGGUGGUCGCUGCGAAUCUUCGGAUUCGGGGAGGAAAGUCCGGGCUCCACAGGGCACGGUGGUGGGUAACUCCCACCGUCCGCGAGGGCAGGGAAAGUGCAACAGAAAGCAAACCGCCGGUCCGGUUCGCCGGUCCGGUAAGGGUGAAACGGUGCGGUAAGAGCGCACCAGCAGGCCGGGUGACCGGUCUGGCUAGGUAAACCCCACCGGGUGCAAGACCAAGCAGAGAGCAGUCCCGGUUCGCCGGGACCUGGAUCGGCCCGAUCCGGUACGACUCUCGGGUAGGUCGCGCGAGGUAGCAGGCAACUGCUGUCCCAGAUAAAUGGCCACUCACGACAUAACCCGGCUUACAGGCCGACUCCCGCU
This 376-nucleotide RNase P RNA is filed under the name Gimesia chilikensis. Its description in RNAcentral is "Gimesia sp. JC646 RNase P RNA component class A". It matches the Rfam family "Bacterial RNase P class A". Rfam says of the family: Ribonuclease P (RNase P) is a ubiquitous endoribonuclease, found in archaea, bacteria and eukarya as well as chloroplasts and mitochondria. Its best characterised activity is the generation of mature 5'-ends of tRNAs by cleaving the 5'-leader elements of precursor-tRNAs. Cellular RNase Ps are ribonucleoproteins. The record is from RNAcentral. Lineage: Bacteria; Pseudomonadati; Planctomycetota; Planctomycetia; Planctomycetales; Planctomycetaceae.